This 303-nucleotide ribosomal RNA is filed under the name uncultured bacterium. Its description in RNAcentral is "partial 16S ribosomal RNA". It matches the Rfam family "Bacterial small subunit ribosomal RNA", at positions 507 to 807 of the family's 1533-position model. The record is from RNAcentral.
AGCAGUCGCCGCGGGAAUACGAAGGGGGCUAGCGUUGCUCGGAAUCACUGGGCGUAAAGGGUGCGUAGGCGGGUCUUUAAGUCAGGGGUGAAAUCCUGGAGCUCAACUCCAGAACUGCCUUUGAUACUGAAGAUCUUGAGUUCGGGAGAGGUGAGUGGAACUGCGAGUGUAGAGGUGAAAUUCGUAGAUAUUCGCAAGAACACCAGUGGCGAAGGCGGCUCACUGGCCCGAUACUGACGCUGAGGCACGAAAGCGUGGGGAGCAAACAGGAUUAGAUACCCCAGUAGUCCCUGUCUCUUAUAC